Molecule: ribosomal RNA, 718 nt
Filed under: uncultured bacterium
Lineage: Bacteria
Description: bacterial SSU rRNA
Rfam family: Bacterial small subunit ribosomal RNA
Source: RNAcentral
AGAGUUUGAUCCUGGCUCAGGAUGAACGCUGGCGGCGUGCCUAAUACAUGCAAGUCGAACGCUUUACCUUGGUAAAGAGUGGCGAACGGGUGAGUAAUACAUAAGUAACCUGCCCACGACAGGGGGACAACUGCUGGAAACGGCAGCUAAUACCGCAUGGGUAGGCAGUACGCAUGUACUGCGCUAUGAAAGCAGCUGAGGCUGCGGUAGUGGAUGGACUUAUGGCGCAUUAGCUAGUUGGUGAGGUAACGGCCCACCAAGGCGACGAUGCGUAGCCGACCUGAGAGGGUGACCGGCCACACUGGGACUGAGACACGGCCCACACUCCUACGGGAGGCAGCAGUAGGGAAUUUUCGGCAAUGGGCGAAAGCCUGACCGAGCAACGCCGCGUGAAGGAAAAAGGAAUUCGUUCUGUAAACUUCUGUCAUAGAGGAAGAACGGUAUGAUCAGGGAAUGGGUCAUAAGUGACGGUACUCUAUAAGAAAGCCACGGCUAACUACGUGCCAGCAGCCGCGGUAAUACGUAGGUGGCGAGCGUUAUCCGGAAUUAUUGGGCGUAAAGAGGGAGCAGGCCGCACUAAGGGUCUGUGGGGAAAGCCCGAAUCUUAACUUUCGGCAACCAUGAAAACCAUAAAGCUAGAGUUGUGUGAAAGGAUCGGGGAAUUCCCUGGUGUAACGGGGAAAAUGGCGAAAAAAAAUGAAAGAACCCCCGGGGGGAA